Molecule: non-coding RNA, 608 nt
Organism: Cherax quadricarinatus
Lineage: Eukaryota; Metazoa; Arthropoda; Malacostraca; Decapoda; Parastacidae
Source: RefSeq, a predicted model, not a curated record
UGUUUGUGGUGGUGGGAGUGGUAGUGGUAGUAGUGGUGGUGGUAGGAGUGGUCGAGGUGAGGGUAAUACUGAUACUAAGUGCAAGAGCACCAGUACCAUCAAGACUGGGGUGAACAGAAGAACAGCGACCCGUGUCCCUUCAGCCUUCAGCACAGCAAGCAUGUUUGGUGGUGUACAGUACUGAAGGAGCUCUGAGACCUGAACCAUCGGUACAAGACUCAGUAGCAUCUGACCGCUGCUGUGAACUGCAAGAAACCAAACUUUGAAGAUAUUGGGAUCUACAUUCGUCCUUGAAAUUGGAGCUAUUGCUAAUUUCAGCUAUGAAGAUAUAUAGGUACGAAGCUCUGCGAGGAGCGAAUGUGUUGGUGACAGGUGUCAUGAUGGGUGUAGCUAUAGUUGGCACCUUUGUUGGUGCUGUGGCCAACAACGGCUGUGCCUGGCACUCUCUCCUGGACUACUGGCUUCUAGGUAUUGGUGUAACUACCGUAGGAGCUGUGGUGGGCGUGGUAAUAUGGCUUCAGUCACUCACCUGUACUAAGGUCAUCAACGGACCAAGAUGUUUGAUGAUGCUGCUGCUGGUCGUCAACGUCAUCUGGCUCAUAUUAGGU